GUCGACAGUCAGGCAACGAGCGAGACCCACGCCAACAGUUGCCAGCUCGUCCUCCGGGAUGGAGGGGACACUGUUGGGACCGCCUCUGCUAAAGAGGAGGAAGGAAUGGGCAACGGUAGGUCAGCAUGCCCCGAAUUAUCUGGGCUACACGCGGGCUACAAUGGGUGGGACAAUGGGUAUCGACACCGAAAGGUGAAGGCAAUCUCCUAAACCCAUCCUUAGUUCGGAUUGUGGGUUGCAACUCACCCACAUGAAGCUGGAAUCCGUAGUAAUCGUGUCUCAAAAUGGCACGGUGAAUAUGUCCCUGCUCCUUGCACGAAUUCGCCG
RNAcentral lists this ribosomal RNA (327 nucleotides) under uncultured Methanomicrobiales archaeon. RNAcentral describes it as "bacterial SSU rRNA". It matches the Rfam family "Archaeal small subunit ribosomal RNA", at positions 1028 to 1352 of the family's 1478-position model. Lineage: Archaea; Methanobacteriati; Methanobacteriota; Methanomicrobia; Methanomicrobiales. The record is from RNAcentral.